GCCACCGCGAUCCACCGUAGAUCGACGGUCGAAACUUAGUGUUCGAGGUUCCGAAGUACGUUUUGAGUCUCAGAAAAUCAUCGUUUGACUUGUUGUGGAACCCGAUCAUUUUGGAUUUGUAUGGAUUUGAUUGAUUGACUCUUGGUGAGGAAUUUUAAAAUAAGCUAAGGACCUAAGGUGUGGCUUUAGCUGUUGAGCAACUUGUGGAGCACGGACUCAGUAGCAAUGCAAUAAUGGUUUAGAGUUUUCAUAUGGCUGCCUUAAAUUUAAAGUAUUCAUAUGUGUAAUAAUUUCUUCUAAUAAGUUUAUAUAAAAGUUUUAAA
This is a long non-coding RNA of Humulus lupulus (European hop), 323 nucleotides long. RefSeq lists it as uncharacterized. Lineage: Eukaryota; Viridiplantae; Streptophyta; Magnoliopsida; Rosales; Cannabaceae. The transcript is spliced from 3 exons. The record is from RefSeq and is a predicted model, not a curated record.